CCUACGGGAGGCAGCAGUGGGGAAUAUUGCGCAAUGGGCGAAAGCCUGACGCAGCGACGCCGCGUGAGGGAUGAAGGUCUUCGGAUCGUAAACCUCUGUCAGCAUGGAAGAACGGUCACUGUGCUAAUCAGCAGUGAAUUGACGGUAUCUGCAAAGGAAGCACCGGCUAACUCCGUGCCAGCAGCCGCGGUAAUACGGAGGGUGCGAGCGUUAAUCGGAAUUACUGGGCGUAAAGCGCUCGUAGGCGGUAUGUCAAGUCAAGGGUGAAAUCCCCGCGCUCAACGUGGGAACUGCCUUGGAAACUGGCAGACUGGAGUGUGUGAGAGGAUAGUGGAAUUCCAGGUGUAGGAGUGAAAUCCGUAGAUAUAUGGAGGAACAUCAGUGGCGAAGGCGACUAUCUGGCACAUAACUGACGCUGAGGAGCGAAAGCGUGGGUAGCAAACAGGAUUAGAUACCCCAGUAGUC
Molecule: ribosomal RNA, 465 nt
Filed under: uncultured bacterium
Lineage: Bacteria
Description: partial 16S ribosomal RNA
Rfam family: Bacterial small subunit ribosomal RNA
Source: RNAcentral